GGUAGUACAAUCUCAGCCUUAUUCAUUCCCUUCAGAAAAUGAAAACUCAUAGAUAUCUUUAAACUAAUUGGAUACCUUAUAAAGAUUAUAGCAAAUGGGUGUGGUAUUUUUAUGUGGCAACAUAAGAAUUUUAGCCAUCAAACUAGCACUAUUCUACAGUAAUGUUGAAGGUGGAUGAAGUAUAUCGAAUGAGUUUAUGUGAGUUAAAGUAUUGAAUACAUUUACAUAAAUUUGCAUGUAUGUAACACUUUCCCUAAGAAACUCCACAAUGCUAUAUCUGCUCUAUCUUCUGUUUUUAACAUUGUUGCACAGAAUACAAAAAGUGGAAGGCUGAAUAAAAAACAAGCUCCUGUUCAAGUGACCUCACUGCUUUCUGAUGACCCCCACUGGCUAUGCCACAUUUCUGGUGCUGAAUGGAUGCACAACACGUCCGUACUCAUCUGGGCUUCGAUGCAGUUGUUCAAUUUGAAAAGUAAAGCAGUACUUUAAUGGUCCCUUCAGUUCUCACACUCAGUGUUUCAAUAUUUGUCCUGUUCUACCUGGCUUGUAAUCAAUCCUAAAACUUCCUCACAUUUCCAGAUGAUGGAAUGAACAAUCCUGCGUAUGGCUUCCAAACUGAAAACUCAGAACUUAAGGCUCUGGUCUGAAGUGGCCACAGUUCAUCUCUGGCCUUGACAAGCCAUUUGUUGGCCGUGGAACUCAUUACUUGAAAGAGAUUUGCUACAGCUCCCGUUAUGGUGCCUUUAGAAGAAAUAAAGAUCUCCUGCCU
This is a long non-coding RNA of Homo sapiens (human), 769 nucleotides long. Ensembl annotates it as long intergenic non-protein coding RNA 1924. NCBI's taxonomy places the organism in Eukaryota, Metazoa, Chordata, Mammalia, Primates, Hominidae. The record is from Ensembl.